CUUGCCAGCUGCAGAACGCAGUUUAUGAAAAAUGCUCUAAUGCUCUUUGGCACCACAAGUAUAACCCCAUUUCUGGUGUUUCCAGUUAGUCUUUACACAGUCUUUUCCUUAGAUAAGAAGUUAAUUCUUGCUUCUGUAAAAGAUCAGCCUGAGAAACACUGAGCAAGAUCUUCAGCUUCAGGAAGGGGCAGGCAUGUAGGGCUGAAAACACCCAGUGUUAGGCAAGCUGCUGCCUUCUGCCUUUAUCUGUGAGCACAGGCAUUUUGAAAGUGCGUAUCUGCCCUAACACGUCCUUCAAAGGAGAGCGGUAUCUCACCGCACCAAAAGCUGAGUGACGGAGGCUGCUACCCCUCAGAGAUAUCUAUCGCUCCCCUCCUGUGGCGAGACACAUGUGGACUGGCGAUCAGCAUCCUUAACGCGAGCUCGCAUGAAGCUCGAGACGUGGCCGGGUGCUCAGCCACACAAGCGACGCAGGGUGUACCCCAGCUUUGAAAGUAGAUUACUGCGUACAGCUACACGCUUGUUUACUUGACUGAGAUCCAUAUUUAGAUGUGUGUACAAGUGCACAACCCCGAGCUGUUUAUUCAGACAAAAAUCCCACUGAAUGCAGCAGGUAUGUGCCUGCCUGUGCAGCUGAGGAUUAAACCCUUAAAUCUUCUGGAGUGCCCGUCUGCACAUUUCUAAAUAAUCAAAGAAAAAAGAAAAGCAGGAAGAACAUGCCCGCGUGACUGUGGACCUCUCCAACACUCGGCUACAUUUGGAUUCAGAGAGCACGUGUGCCUCUCUAACGUUGCCGAUAGAUGGGCUGAGCCUUGCAGAUAGCAUUUGACUGGGAGAUCAUACAAGAUCUGAGAAGUGUAACACACAAAUCAGUACAGUCUAUGAAAAUUAGAGCAACGGCAGUGCAUAUUUCAAAAGCGCAGUCAAUCCGAAGUCGUGCCUCGCACUUAUCUCGUCACGAGGUUGCAGCAGUCAACUUUAUUGCCUUCAGACAUGUCAGCAUCGCCGUACGGCCCCGCCGCCGGCGGCUUCCCCGUGGAAGGGCGCUUCCAUCAGCGUCACCGCCGGGACACCUCCUGCCACUGACAUGGCCCACCCGCACGUUUGCAGGACUGGCCUUUUUAAAAGUCAACCGUAUAAACUGGGCAGUGACCAGAUCAAGCUGCAGUUAUACAAGAAGCAAGGAAAUAUUAUGCAAGACCACAGGAAGUCAGAGGAGACAGCAUUCUGGGCAGGCCUGGCAAGGAGUCUGUGUGAACUUCAGCUAACAAGCAAAGCUCGGUCAUUGGCGCCAAAUUCAGCAGAGAACAUUCCCAGUGCUGCAAAGGAUAACACUCCCCAUGUUUUUGCCAGUGGGCUAUGUUCCAGGACGCCAUGUACCUGAUGAAAUGCAGAUAAACCCGGGUCUUAUUUUUCGCCAAGUCUUCACUUAUUUUUAAAAUUUGGAGCAUAUUUUUGUCCAACAUUUGUUAGAAGUGGCAAAUGGUUUGUUUGCGUGGCUUUGCUAAUAGACCGCUUGUUCUUACGGUCCCUGUAAUUUCAACUACAAUAAUUGACCUACAAAGAAAACGCUUGGCAGAAGCCUCAUUUUUUCCAUGCACCUUGCCCAUCUCUACCUCCAGGCACUCUGCUAAUAGGAGAUGCGAGGGUUAUGGAUUCCUUUUCCCUUGGCAUUUUGGAAUGACCACUGCAAGCAGACUUGGCGCAAAAAGAUGACACCCACCUCUCACACAACUAUACUAUUUUAAUCCACUUCCAUGCAGAAAGUAAUUGGGGUUUUUUGCAUUUUCAAGAACUACCUCAUCCAGGUCCUACUUCGAGAAGACAUCCAUUAAAAUGCAGUAAACUUUGUUUCCAAAAUGGCUGAAAAAAUUGGCCUUAAUCUGGCAAACAUUCAUCAUCUAGCAAUACAUGAGUUCAGAGAAGUUUAAUGCUUUGUUCUAGGAUUCAUCUUUAAAACAUCAAUGAUAAAAGGUUGGAGGCAGGAAUGCAUUUCGAGGUUCGCACACACACACACGCUGCCAAACAAGAAGCGCAGCAUGCAAAGUCUUACACAACACAAAACAAUUACCAAUUGUGAUGAGUGUAGACAAAGCAUUCUCAAGAGAAUCUAUUUUAUGUUUGUAAUCGCCCUCAAAAAACACACAAUAGCACUCUCCUUCCAGCAAAUACAUAAUACAAACAAAAACCAAACAGUAGGACUGCCUCGAUGGGGGAAAGUGAUUCUGAGAAGUUUAAUAGCUCACCAGUAGAUACCUAUUGCCGAUGCCAAUGAACCGAUUUAAAAAGUUUUCAUCAUUACCAUGGCUUGUGGGAACGACAAACAUACACUGUUAACAAGAGAUUCCCGUCUUUCCUGUGGCUCACACCUGAAAAAGUUCCCAUAACCAGCCAUUUUUGCAAAAAUAAUUAAACGAGCAUGGCAGCAACACAGGAAAGUGAAACUGUUAGUGGUGACAAUGCCUCCAUUGUUACUGCUGGUUAACAAUGCCCAAAAUUAAUCAUGAACCUGAGAACCAACACCAAAUGCACACACAGUUGGACCUCUCCAACCAAAAUAGACCUUUCUACAGCUGGGUCCAGAGUUAUAGCUGUUUGGAAGUGCAGUUGUUUCUCUGGUUGAAGACAGCAAUUCCUGUCUGGCAGAAAGAAGUCCAGCUGCACUUUUCGGGGCCUGAGUCAAGCACACACUGGUGGUUUUAACGUGGCCAGUCUAAAACAUCUCACAGUAUCAAGUGUUGGUAUUAAUUGCAGUUGCACAGCAGUUUCUUCAUCCAAACCCAGUAAGGUCUAAGCACACUGAAACACUCACAAAUGCCCAGAGUAAGGAAAAACAUUUCAUCUGUAUCUCUUUCUACCAAAUAGCAAGGCAAAUAUCUCGUGGUAAGUUUUUAAAAUGCCACAAGGGUUAACUGGUGAACCAUGCUACAAGAGCAACAAGUUGUUGUGCUAAUAAGGGCACUAGCGAAAUCAGGUUUCUCCAGGCUCUGCAGACUGCUGUUGGACCCCGGUCCCUGUGGCACAGGGAGCUGCAAGCGGGGAGCUGCCUGGAGUUGCUGCCCUGAGGGGGCACCUGUGACUUCUUCAGCCAUAGGAAGUCGCUGGUCUCUACAAGGGAACGCGCUUGUGCUGCAGCUUUUCCCUGAAGCGAUUACAACACUGUUUCUGAACGCCUAUUCCCAGGAAUUUAAUAUCUUUCAGAUCUUUACAGCUCUGUCAGAAAUGGAGACAGACACACACUGUAACAGUGUAAGCCUUGAUUCUUUAAGAAAACAAGCUAGUUGUUCUAAUCACUGUGUCAUCUUCUAUUAAAAGUAAAUUUUUCAUUUCUUUUGAUGACUGCAUUUCCCAGUAGCUCACCCAGCCAAAAUCCUUCUUCAAGCUUCCCGUAUGCAAUUCAUAUUCAGCUACAACAAACUAUAAUAUACCUACCACCACAAGCAAUGAAGCAUUUACUUUCUCUGGGGUUGAGGGGGGAGAUGUUUUGAUUCUCAAUAGCUAGUACAUCUCUAACUUGAGGCCUUCUCUUCAUUUUCCUUCAGUACAGUAAUUUCAUAUUCCACAGCUUCACUGUAUGUCCUACAACAACUCCUGGUAUGUGAGCAAACUAAAUACUUUCAAAACAGAGUGUGCUGAAAUAGAUUUUCCCACCAAAUAUUUUCUUCUUACAACUUUGUAAAUCAGAACUGACUUCCUACACAAACAACAGUAUAAGAACAGCCACUUGCUCUGCUUUCCUCAUACCUUACUAGGUGCUUGACCAUUUCAUUUCCUUGAUCCACCAGCUAACAGAAGUAGAACCCAAGUGGAACCAUCAUGAAAUUCCCUUUUAAGAAGGAUAAAGCUUCACACUACACACCGUUUAUAUCAUAUUUUCCUCAAAGGUAUUUUCACGAAGCAGUAGGCAGAGGUCACAGGCAGGAACUGAACCCCAUUUUGAUAAAACUUCUAGACAUAUCAGACUUCAGAUAUUUUGGAGCUGGAGUUAUUUUGGUACAAAAGCCAGACCAUUAAAUCUGUUGAGUAAGGUACAAAUAGAAACUAAGAAACUCAACCAACAGGAAUACACAGCUCAAUGCACAAAAGACUUGGUAGGUUCAUUCCAUGGCUGUAACCUACUCAAAAUGCAAUACGACAGGAAAUAAUUUUAUGCUUGCACUGUAUUCAUCGCAUCAACUCCCUCCAAAAGAACACUCUACAAUGACUUCAGGUUGGGAUGAUUUGUUCUUAAAGCUUUUAACAGGUCAGGCUGCAGACACCCUUCCUCUUUCAGCUCUGACUUUAGGUGGACCUCUGCUCCACAUUAGCCAUCACUGCACCUGAAAUCUUUACUGUAACCUGCAGCGCAGACUUUGCUCCCUGCUUAUUUUAUUCCCCGGGUUGGAAGAGCACUGAAAAGUCACUACUUUUAGAAUAAGCAUC
Long non-coding RNA from Grus americana (Whooping crane), 4422 nucleotides. RefSeq lists it as uncharacterized. Lineage: Eukaryota; Metazoa; Chordata; Aves; Gruiformes; Gruidae. The transcript has 3 exons. The record is from RefSeq and is a predicted model, not a curated record.